Molecule: ribosomal RNA, 375 nt
Filed under: uncultured Oscillospiraceae bacterium
Lineage: Bacteria; Bacillati; Bacillota; Clostridia; Eubacteriales; Oscillospiraceae
Description: bacterial SSU rRNA
Rfam family: Bacterial small subunit ribosomal RNA
Source: RNAcentral
GCUGUGUCCGUUCGGGACAAGGAGACAGGUGGUGCAUGGUUGUCGUCAGCUCGUGUCGUGAGAUGUUGGGUUAAGUCCCGCAACGAGCGCAACCCCUGUGGUUAGUUGCCAGCAAGUAGCGUUUGGGCACUCUAGCCAGACUGCCGGUGAUAAAUCGGAGGAAGGUGGGGACGACGUCAAAUCAUCAUGCCCUUUUAUGUCCUGGGCUACACACGUACUACAAUGGCCGUUACAACGGGAAGCGAAGGAGCAAUCCGGAGCAAAUCCCUUAAAGGCGGUCCCAGUUCAGAUUGUGGGCUGAAACUCGCCCACAUGAAGGCGGAAUUGCUAGUAAUUGCAGAUCAGCAUGCUGCAGUGAAUACGUUCCCGGGCCUU